RNAcentral lists this ribosomal RNA (1013 nucleotides) under Salmonella enterica subsp. enterica. Its description in RNAcentral is "partial 23S ribosomal RNA". It matches the Rfam family "Bacterial large subunit ribosomal RNA", at positions 762 to 1693 of the family's 2925-position model. The record is from RNAcentral. Lineage: Bacteria; Pseudomonadati; Pseudomonadota; Gammaproteobacteria; Enterobacterales; Enterobacteriaceae.
CUAACUGGAGGACCGAACCGACUAAUGUUGAAAAAUUAGCGGAUGACCUGUGGCUGGGGGUGAAAGGCCAAUCAAACCGGGAGAUAGCUGGUUCUCCCCGAAAGCUAUUUAGGUAGCGCCUCGUGAACUCAUCUCCGGGGGUAGAGCACUGUUUCGGCUAGGGGGCCAUCCCGGCUUACCAACCCGAUGCAAACUGCGAAUACCGGAGAAUGUUAUCACGGGAGACACACGGCGGGUGCUAACGUCCGUCGUGAAGAGGGAAACAACCCAGACCGCCAGCUAAGGUCCCAAAGUCAUGGUUAAGUGGGAAACGAUGUGGGAAGGCCCAGACAGCCAGGAUGUUGGCUUAGAAGCAGCCAUCAUUUAAAGAAAGCGUAAUAGCUCACUGGUCGAGUCGGCCUGCGCGGAAGAUGUAACGGGGCUAAACCAUGCACCGAAGCUGCGGCAGCGAACGUAUCACUUAAAGCGAUUCAGCGGGUUACGAUUGACGGAGCGAAGCGACGUCAAAGCGUAUACAAAGUCGAGUCGGUUUAAGGAUACGUUCGUUGGGUAGGGGAGCGUUCUGUAAGCCUGUGAAGGUGGCCUGUGAGGGUUGCUGGAGGUAUCAGAAGUGCGAAUGCUGACAUAAGUAACGAUAAAGCGGGUGAAAAGCCCGCUCGCCGGAAGACCAAGGGUUCCUGUCCAACGUUAAUCGGGGCAGGGUGAGUCGACCCCUAAGGCGAGGCCGAAAGGCGUAGUCGAUGGGAAACGGGUUAAUAUUCCCGUACUUGGUGUUACUGCGAAGGGGGGACGGAGAAGGCUAUGUUGGCCGGGCGACGGUUGUCCCGGUUUAAGCGUGUAGGCUGGUUUUCCAGGCAAAUCCGGAAAAUCAAGGCUGAGGCGUGAUGACGAGGCACUACGGUGCUGAAGCAACAAAUGCCCUGCUUCCAGGAAAAGCCUCUAAGCAUCAGGUAACAUCAAAUCGUACCCCAAACCGACACAGGUGGUCAGGUAGAGAAUACCAAGGCGCUUGA